Ictidomys tridecemlineatus (thirteen-lined ground squirrel) is the source of this 73-nucleotide non-coding RNA. NCBI's taxonomy places the organism in Eukaryota, Metazoa, Chordata, Mammalia, Rodentia, Sciuridae. The record is from Rfam.
GGAGGUAUAGUUCAGUUGGUAGAAUGCUUGCCUCACAUGCAUAAGGCUCUGGGUUCAAUCCCCAGGACCACAA